This 562-nucleotide long non-coding RNA is filed under the name Nicotiana tabacum (common tobacco). Its description in RNAcentral is "long non-coding RNA (NTAB_LNC014752)". Lineage: Eukaryota; Viridiplantae; Streptophyta; Magnoliopsida; Solanales; Solanaceae. The record is from RNAcentral.
AAAGAUACGAAGCCCUUCAGACACACAAACAGGCCUCUCUCUAGAAAUCCCUCCCCCCUCUCUCUAAAAUCACAUCUCUGCUAAAAUUUCAUGACUCAGCUCUAAAUCUUUCUAAUCAAAAUGUGAAUCUCAUUUAUCAGGUAUGUGUUCAAAUCCCUAUUCUUUUCCUUUUUCUUUUAGAACGAAAAAUCUGAUAUAGCUGUUGUUCAAAUCCAUAUCGAUUUUGUGGUGGAAGAAUUGAACAACUGAUUUCUCUCAUAUAGCUGCUAGUGACCCUAAUUCUUUCUUUUUUGUUUAUACCCAUACUAGUUUAUAUAUAAAUUUAUUUUUGGAUUUUUUUAUAAGGAUUCUUUAAGGCAAAAUUUUCAACAUGCAGUUAGGGAUUAUUGUUAUUUCAGUAAUUUUAUAUUUGUAUUCUUAGAUUUUAUCUCGAAUUUCUCUGAACCAUUUGAUAAUCUAUAGGAAUACAAAAAAAAGAGCCGCACAGGAAGACUCAUUUGAGGCGUAUUUGGUGUUGUUGUUGAUUUUCAGUCUUGACAGAACUCGACUAUCUUAGUUUGGG